ACGAACGCUGGCGGCAUGCCUAACACAUGCAAGUCGAACGGUGGUUUCACUUCGGUGAUGCCACAGUGGCGCACGGGUGAGUAACACGUGGGAACCUGCCUUUCGGUUCGGGAUAACGUCUGGAAACGGACGCUAACACCGGAUACGCCCCCCAAAGAGAUUUGGGCGGGGAAAGUUUACGCCGAGAGAGGGGCCCGCGUCCGAUUAGGUAGUUGGUGGGGUAACGGCCUACCAAGCCGACGAUCGGUAGCUGGUCUGAGAGGAUGAUCAGCCACACUGGGACUGAGACACGGCCCAGACUCCUACGGGAGGCAGCAGUGGGGAAUAUUGGACAAUGGGGGCAACCCUGAUCCAGCAAUGCCGCGUGAGUGAUGAAGGCCUUAGGGUUGUAAAGCUCUUUCGCACGCGACGAUGAUGACGGUAGCGUGAGAAGAAGCCCCGGCUAACUUCGU
This 452-nucleotide ribosomal RNA is filed under the name uncultured bacterium. RNAcentral's name for it is "bacterial SSU rRNA". It matches the Rfam family "Bacterial small subunit ribosomal RNA", at positions 29 to 506 of the family's 1533-position model. The record is from RNAcentral.